UGCAAGUCGAGGGGCAGCAUUUUAGUUUGCUUGCAAACUAAAGAUGGCGACCGGCGCACGGGUGAGUAACACGUAUCCAACCUGCCGAUAACUCGGGGAUAGCCUUUCGAAAGAAAGAUUAAUAUCCGAUGGUAUAUUAAAACCGCAUGGUUUUACUAUUAAAGAAUUUCGGUUAUCGAUGGGGAUGCGUUCCAUUAGUUUGUUGGCGGGGUAACGGCCCACCAAGACUACGAUGGAUAGGGGUUCUGAGAGGAAGGUCCCCCACAUUGGAACUGAGACACGGUCCAAACUCCUACGGGAGGCAGCAGUGAGGAAUAUUGGUCAAUGGACGAGAGUCUGAACCAGCCAAGUAGCGUGAAGGAUGACUGCCCUAUGGGUUGUAAACUUCUUUUAUAUGGGAAUAAAGUAUUCCNACGUGUGGGAUUUUGUAUGUACCAUAUGAAUAAGGAUCGGCUAACUCCGUGCCAGCAGCCGCGGUAAUACGGAGGAUCCGAGCGUUAUCCGGAUUUAUUGGGUUUAAAGGGAGCGUAGGUGGAUUGUUAAGUCAGUUGUGAAAGUUUGCGGCUCAACCGUAAAAUUGCAGUUGAAACUGGCAGUCUUGAGUACAGUAGAGGUGGGCGGAAUUCGUGGUGUAGCGGUGAAAUGCUUAGAUAUCACGAAGAACUCCGAUUGCGAAGGCAGCUCACUAGACUGCAACUGACACUGAUGCUCGAAAGUGUGGGUAUCAAACAGGAUUAGAUACCCUGGUAGUCCACACAGUAAACGAUGAAUACUCGCUGUUUGCGAUAUACAGUAAGCGGCCAAGCGAAAGCAUUAAGUAUUCCACCUGGGGAGUACGCCGGCAACGGUGAAACUCAAAGGAAUUGACGGGGGCCCGCACAAGCGGAGGAACAUGUGGUUUAAUUCGAUGAUACGCGAGGAACCUUACCCGGGCUUAAAUUGCAUUUGAAUAAUCUGGAAACAGGUUAGCCGCAAGGCAAAUGUGAAGGUGCUGCAUGGUUGUCGUCAGCUCGUGCCGUGAGGUGUCGGCUUAAGUGCCAUAACGAGCGCAACCCUUAUCUUUAGUUACUAACAGGUCAUGCUGAGGACUCUAGAGAGACUGCCGUCGUAAGAUGUGAGGAAGGUGGGGAUGACGUCAAAUCAGCACGGCCCUUACGUCCGGGGCUACACACGUGUUACAAUGGGGGGUACAGAAGGCAGCUACCUGGCGACAGGAUGCUAAUCCCAAAAACCUCUCUCAGUUCGGAUCGAAGUCUGCAACCCGACUUCGUGAAGCUGGAUUCGCUAGUAAUCGCGCAUCAGCCAUGGCGCGGUGAAUACGUUCCCGGGCCUUGUACACACCGCCCGUCAAGCCAUGAAAGCCGGGGGUACCUGAAGUACGUAACCGCAAGGAGC
This 1395-nucleotide ribosomal RNA is filed under the name bacterium NLAE-zl-P909. RNAcentral describes it as "bacterial SSU rRNA". It matches the Rfam family "Bacterial small subunit ribosomal RNA". The record is from RNAcentral.